ACGGGGCGCAGCAGGCGAGAAAACUUUGCAAUGUGCGAAAGCACGACAAGGUUAAUCCGAGUGGUUUCUGCUAAAGGAACCUUUUGACGGUCCUAAAAACACUGUUGAAUAAGGGGUGGGCAAGUUCUGGUGUCAGCCGCCGCGGUAAAACCAGCACCUCAAGUGGUCAGGAUGAUUAUUGGGCCUAAAGCAUCCGUAGCCGGCUCUGUAAGUUUUCGGUUAAAUCUGUACGCUCAACGUACAGGCUGCUGGGAAUACUGCAGAGCUAGGGAGUGGGAGAGGUAGACGGUACUCGGGAGGAAGUGGUAAAAUGCUUUGAUCUCUCGAUGACCACCUGUGGCGAAGGCGGUCUACCAGAACACGUCCGACGGUGAGGGAUGAAAGCUGGGGGAGCAAACCGGAUUAGAUACCCGGGUAGUCCCAGCUGUAAACUAUGCAAACUCAGUGAUGCGUUGGCUUAUGGCCAGCGCAGUGUUGCAGGGAAGCCGUUAAGUUUGCCGCCUGGGAAGUACGUACGCAAGUAUGAAACUUAAAGGAAUUGGCGGGGGAGCAC
Molecule: ribosomal RNA, 553 nt
Filed under: uncultured archaeon
Lineage: Archaea
Description: bacterial SSU rRNA
Rfam family: Archaeal small subunit ribosomal RNA
Source: RNAcentral